This 765-nucleotide ribosomal RNA is filed under the name uncultured Streptococcus sp. RNAcentral's name for it is "bacterial SSU rRNA". It matches the Rfam family "Bacterial small subunit ribosomal RNA", at positions 28 to 776 of the family's 1533-position model. The record is from RNAcentral. Lineage: Bacteria; Bacillati; Bacillota; Bacilli; Lactobacillales; Streptococcaceae.
GACGAACGCUGGCGGCGUGCCUAAUACAUGCAAGUAGAACGCUGAAGAGAGGAGCUUGCUCUUCUUGGAUGAGUUGCGAACGGGUGAGUAACGCGUAGGUAACCUGCCUGGUAGCGGGGGAUAACUAUUGGAAACGAUAGCUAAUACCGCAUAAAAUUGAUUAUCGCAUGAUAAUCAAUUGAAAGGUGCAAAUGCAUCACUACCAGAUGGACCUGCGUUGUAUUAGCUAGUUGGUGGGGUAACGGCUCACCAAGGCGACGAUACAUAGCCGACCUGAGAGGGUGAUCGGCCACACUGGGACUGAGACACGGCCCAGACUCCUACGGGAGGCAGCAGUAGGGAAUCUUCGGCAAUGGACGGAAGUCUGACCGAGCAACGCCGCGUGAGUGAAGAAGGUUUUCGGAUCGUAAAGCUCUGUUGUAAGAGAAGAACGAGUGUGAGAGUGGAAAGUUCACACUGUGACGGUAUCUUACCAGAAAGGGACGGCUAACUACGUGCCAGCAGCCGCGGUAAUACGUAGGUCCCGAGCGUUGUCCGGAUUUAUUGGGCGUAAAGCGAGCGCAGGCGGUUAGAUAAGUCUGAAGUUAAAGGCUGUGGCUUAACCAUAGUACGCUUUGGAAACUGUUUAACUUGAGUGCAAGAGGGGAGAGUGGAAUUCCAUGUGUAGCGGUGAAAUGCGUAGAUAUAUGGAGGAACACCAGUGGCGAAAGCGGCUCUCUGGCUUGUAACUGACGCUGAGGCUCGAAAGCGUGGGGAGCAAACAGG